CCCAGAAGGUCUAGAAAGGUCCUGGAAGGUGCAGGAAGGUUCAGAGAAGGUUCCAGAAGGUGCAGAAAGGUUCAGAGAAGGUUCUAGAAGGUGCAGAAAGGGCCGAAAAACAGCCCAAAACCAGCCCAGACAGGUCCUGGAAGAUACAUAAAAAGCCCCAAAAUUCCGCGAAAAAAAUCCCAAAAAAUUCCCAAAAAAUCCCAGAAGGUUCCGGAAGGUUCCGGAAGGCCCCGGACGCACUUGUCGCCCCGGAAGAGGUAGGUGUGGCCGCUGGGCAGCCAGAGCAGGGCGGCGUCCACGCGGUCGCUGGGGACGCCGCGGCCGAGCUCCGAGAGGGGCCGGGGGUAGCCCGGGAGCAGCAGCCCCUCGUCGAACACCCAGUGCCG
RNAcentral lists this long non-coding RNA (386 nucleotides) under Junco hyemalis (dark-eyed junco). RNAcentral describes it as "lncRNA (ENSJHYG00000013142.1)". The record is from RNAcentral. Lineage: Eukaryota; Metazoa; Chordata; Aves; Passeriformes; Passerellidae.